UGGGGAAUAUUGGACAAUGGGCGAAAGCCUGAUCCAGCCAUGCCGCGUGAGUGACGAAGGCCUUAGGGUUGUAAAACUCUUUCGUCGGGGACGAUAAUGACGGUACCCGAAGAAGAAGCUCCGGCUAACUUCGUGCCAGCAGCCGCGGUAAUACGAAGGGGGCUAGCGUUGUUCGGAUUUACUGGGCGUAAAGCGCGUGUAGGCGGACUUGUAAGUUGGGGGUGAAAUCCCGAGGCUCAACCUCGGAACUGCCUCCAAAACUACAAAUCUGGACCUAAGUAGAGGCAAGUGGAAUUGCGAGUGUAGAGGUGAAAUUCGUAGAUAUUCGCAGGAACACCAGUGGCGAAGGCGACUUGCUGGACUUAUGGUGACGCUGAGACGCGAAAGCGUGGGGAGCAAACAGGAUUAGAUACCCGUGUAGUCCCUGAGCGGGCUGGCAAGGCGCAU
RNAcentral lists this ribosomal RNA (447 nucleotides) under uncultured bacterium. RNAcentral describes it as "bacterial SSU rRNA". It matches the Rfam family "Bacterial small subunit ribosomal RNA", at positions 355 to 825 of the family's 1533-position model. The record is from RNAcentral.